GGCUUAGUAGCUCAGUUAGCUAGAGCGCUAACAUUACAUGAUAGUGACGCUGCUUCGAAUCCCGCUUAACUGG
Molecule: non-coding RNA, 73 nt
Organism: Mycena leptocephala
Lineage: Eukaryota; Fungi; Basidiomycota; Agaricomycetes; Agaricales; Mycenaceae
Source: the annotation of a GenBank genome assembly